UGGCACCUCCAUAGUCCCAGAGCUGAAGCUGCUGUCUGCUCCUCUUUGGCUGGACUGAGACCUUGAUUCUACCAGAGGACAUCACUUUCUUCCAGACCACUCACUAAACGAUUAGCUCAGAUCUUUGAGUUGGAUGUGUUAUCCUUUACAUGGAGUUCUUCGGUAUUUACCUGAAUAAGCCUCAUGUCAUCAACUUUUCUUUCCUCAUUUGCACUUGGCCUUUGGAAAUGUGGAGAAUAUUGGUUCAGUUUCUUAUGCCAUUUAAAGAGCCGUAUUCAACCAGACACGGAUGCACUUCUCACACCAUGAACAGCUGAGCUGGGCGGCUUCUUAGAUGAGUUGGAUGUGCUCCUGUCCAGUUUCUGAAUGGCAGCUUGCUUGUAUUCUUUGAGACUGAUGUAGGUCUGCUGGUGAUCCUUAUGCUCUGUUCUAUGGGUCCUCUAAGGUCUGUCCACUCAGCUGGUCCGCCAGGGCCCUUUAUCAACUGGCAUGCUAAGAUGUUGCAGAUCUGUUGGCUCCCCAGAUGCUCGUCAUAUCGCUGUAACUCCUAAUUCCUCCUUGCUGCUCUCUCUCUGGAAGGCUGGAGCCUCCAGCUUGGAAUUUCCUCUAGGCCUACUGACUUGACAUUGGCUCACAACUGUCAAAUCGAACGUGGUGCUUUACUUUUUCUCCCUUGGGGUCAUUCUACCAGUGGUUCCUGGAGUUUAUAGUGUUCCACACAGUGCAGCCCGUCCUUCUAUUUGUUUCAAUGCACCAUGUGCAAA
Sinocyclocheilus grahami is the source of this 764-nucleotide long non-coding RNA. RefSeq lists it as uncharacterized. The record is from RefSeq and is a predicted model, not a curated record. The transcript has 4 exons. Lineage: Eukaryota; Metazoa; Chordata; Actinopteri; Cypriniformes; Cyprinidae.